RNAcentral lists this ribosomal RNA (1269 nucleotides) under Acinetobacter sp. P4611. RNAcentral's name for it is "bacterial SSU rRNA". It matches the Rfam family "Bacterial small subunit ribosomal RNA", at positions 91 to 1347 of the family's 1533-position model. The record is from RNAcentral. Lineage: Bacteria; Pseudomonadati; Pseudomonadota; Gammaproteobacteria; Moraxellales; Moraxellaceae.
CUUAGCGGCGGACGGGUGAGUAAUGCUUAGGAAUCUGCCUAUUAGUGGGGGACAACAUCUCGAAAGGGAUGCUAAUACCGCAUACGUCCUACGGGAGAAAGCAGGGGAUUCACUUUGUGACCUUGCGCUAAUAGAUGAGCCUAAGUCGGAUUAGCUAGUUGGUAGGGUAAAGGCCUACCAAGGCGACGAUCCGUAAGCGGGUCUGAGAGGAUGGAUCCGCCACACUGGAACUGAGACACGACCCAGACUCCUACGGGAGGCAGCAGUGGGGAAUAUUGGACAAUGGGGGGAACCCUGAUCCAGCCAUGCCGCGUGUGUGAAGAAGGCCUUAUGGUUGUAAAGCACUUUAAGCGAGGAGGAGGCUCUUUUGGUUAAUACCCAGGAUGAGUGGACGUUACUCGCAGAAUAAGCACCGGCUAACUCUGUGCCAGCAGCCGCGGUAAUACAGAGGGUGCAAGCGUUAAUCGGAUUUACUGGGCGUAAAGCGCGCGUAGGCGGCCAAUUAAGUCAAAUGUGAAAUCCCCGAGCUUAACUUGGGAAUUGCAUUCGAUACUGGUUGGCUAGAGUGUGGGAGAGGAUGGUAGAAUUCCAGGUGUAGCGGUGAAAUGCGUAGAGAUCUGGAGGAAUACCGAUGGCGAAGGCAGCCAUCUGGCCUAACACUGACGCUGAGGUGCGAAAGCAUGGGGAGCAAACAGGAUUAGAUACCCUGGUAGUCCAUGCCGUAAACGAUGUCUACUAGCCGUUGGGGCCUUUGAGGCUUUAGUGGCGCAGCUAACGCGAUAAGUAGACCGCCUGGGGAGUACGGUCGCAAGACUAAAACUCAAAUGAAUUGACGGGGGCCCGCACAAGCGGUGGAGCAUGUGGUUUAAUUCGAUGCAACGCGAAGAACCUUACCUGGGCCUUGACAUAGUAGAAACUUUCCAGAGAUGGAUUGGUGCCUUCGGGAAUCUACAUACAGGUGCUGCAUGGCUGUCGUCAGCUCGUGUCGUGAGAUGUUGGGUUAAGUCCCGCAACGAGCGCAACCCUUUUCCUUACUUGCCAGCAUUUCGGAUGGGAACUUUAAGGAUACUGCCAGUGACAAACUGGAGGAAGGCGGGGACGACGUCAAGUCAUCAUGGCCCUUACGGCCAGGGCUACACACGUGCUACAAUGGUCGGUACAAAGGGUUGCUACCUAGCGAUAGGAGUGCUAAUCUCAAAAAGCCGAUCGUAGUCCGAAUUGGAGCUCUGCAACUCGACUCCAUGAAGUCGGAAUCCCUAGUAAUCGCGG